AGUGAACGCUGGCGGUAGGCCUAACACAUGCAAGUCGAACGGCAGCACAGUAAGAGCUUGCUCUUACGGGUGGCGAGUGGCGGACGGGUGAGGAAUACAUCGGAAUCUACUUUUUCGUGGGGGAUAACGUAGGGAAACUUACGCUAAUACCGCAUACGACCUACGGGUGAAAGCAGGGGAUCUUCGGACCUUACGCGAUUGAAUGAGCCGAUGUCGGAUUAGCUAGUUGGCGGGGUAAAGGCCCACCAAGGCGACGAUCCGUAGCUGGUCUGAGAGGAUGAUCAGCCACACUGGAACUGAGACACGGUCCAGACUCCUACGGGAGGCAGCAGUGGGGAAUAUUGGACAAGGGGCGAAAGCCUGAUCCAGCCAUACCGCGUGGGUGAAGAAGGCCUUCGGGUUGUAAAGCCCUUUUGUUGGGAAAGAAAAGCAGCAGGUUAAUACCCCGCUGUUCUGACGGUACCCAAAGAAUAAGCACCGGCUAACUUCGUG
RNAcentral lists this ribosomal RNA (492 nucleotides) under uncultured bacterium. Its description in RNAcentral is "partial 16S ribosomal RNA". It matches the Rfam family "Bacterial small subunit ribosomal RNA", at positions 29 to 507 of the family's 1533-position model. The record is from RNAcentral.